GGAGGGGCAAAAGUCGGUUUUGAGAAAAAAAAAAAAAAAGCUUUAUGGGAGGAAAAAAAUCUUUAAACAGUCACGCCCCCUUUUGCAAUGACCGGUCCCUUCACUGCGUGUAAAUUCGACAUCAGCAACCUGGAAAAGCUAGGAGCCUGGCGUGCUGAGCUGUCUCUGUGCAUGCGUGUGUGCGACAGGCAGCCUCAGAGAUGUAUACGCGGUAUAGCGAGGGAGGCGUCGUCCCGAGCUUCUCCUCCUCCAUGCCAAAAAAAAAAAAAACCAACACCCAACCCCACCUUCUGGAAACCUGACUAAUUGAAUUACUAAGAACUCGGAUUGGUUCCUGUGCAGCCUUACUGCUAAAGGAAGAAGAAAUAAUCUUAUGAAAAGAAUAUAAGGAAAUGGCUUCAGACAAACCUUAACCAGUAUUUAUUUGUGCAUGUAAGUAUUUUCAACUUGCUAGAAUGGAGGAAUUAAAUUAAGAUUCUCGAUACUCUUUUUGUUAUGCUGUCUGGCGACUCCCUUGCUCCCCUAACCCUCAUUUUCCAGUCCACUAACCAGGGAUAGAUUAUAUGUUUACUCUACUGAGUAAUGUACUGAGGCUCAAUAACUUCAUGGGUUUGGAUGCUCAAAGAAGCAGAUUCAAGACCCUUGUAUAAAAAUAAAAGAAAAUGCCAUAGCACAAAAUACAGUAAUUGAAUUUUAAAUAACUUUUAAAGGGGUAUCUUUCUGAGGUAUUUUCAGGAAUAUUAGUUUGUCCGGCAAUUAUGCACGUUCCUUUUUGCCUAUGGUUCUUAAGAAUUUGCUAUUGUUUUUAAUGAAAAUCUAGUUAUCAACUUUGCUUCCAUUUCAGUUUGUCGGCUCAAAUCCUGUGUGUCUGGCUGAGCAGUCAAAAAGAUCUUUAGCUCACAAAUUGGGCAAGAUCUUUUCAGCACAUAACUUUGAAUGUGAGUCUGAAAAUUUGCAAAAUUUAAUACAUUGAGAAAAACUUUGAGAAGGAGCCAAAAUAUUUUGUACCUUCAUAUAGCUAUUUCAUUAUUUUUUUCAUCCCCAAAGCUUGCAAGGGAGAAAAUUACAAGUCACAAGAUUUUCAAAGACAUAAAUCUAUUCCUAGACACAGAAGUACUGAAGUUAAAUGCAAUGUCCCCUCCAUAUAUGUAGGUAAUAACUAAGACAUAGUGUGUUGCCAGUCAAGUUUGUUUGUCUUCAUAAAUACUUUUGCUCAUGUUUGCUAAAUAUCUAAUUAUGAGGAUUUUUUUUGUUGACACACCUUAAAGA
This is a long non-coding RNA of Passer domesticus (house sparrow), 1269 nucleotides long. RefSeq lists it as uncharacterized. The transcript has 3 exons. The record is from RefSeq and is a predicted model, not a curated record. Lineage: Eukaryota; Metazoa; Chordata; Aves; Passeriformes; Passeridae.